Molecule: ribosomal RNA, 317 nt
Filed under: uncultured bacterium
Lineage: Bacteria
Description: bacterial SSU rRNA
Rfam family: Bacterial small subunit ribosomal RNA
Source: RNAcentral
GCGACAGAAGAAGCACCGGCUAACUCCGUGCCAGCAGCCGCGGUAAUUACGGAGGGUGCGAGCGUUAAUCGGAAUUACUGGGCGUAAAGCGCAUGCAGGUGGUUUGUUAAGUCAGAUGUGAAAGCCCGGGGCUCAACCUCGGAAUAGCAUUUGAAACUGGCAGACUAGAGUACUGUAGAGGGGGUAGAAUUUCAGGUGUAGCGGUGAAAAUGCGUAGAGAUCUGAAGGAAUACCGGUGGCGAAGGCGGCCCCCUGGACAGAUACUGACACUCAGAUGCGAAAGCGUGGGGAGCAAACAGGAUUAGAUACCCUGGUAG